CAAUUAUGUGUUUUGGUUGUCUGAGUUUCAUGUUGGCAAUUUCUUAAUGAUUAAACAUGAGGCUCUGAUACCAAUUGAUGCAUAAACCAU
Molecule: non-coding RNA, 90 nt
Organism: Vitis vinifera (wine grape)
Lineage: Eukaryota; Viridiplantae; Streptophyta; Magnoliopsida; Vitales; Vitaceae
Source: RefSeq, marked provisional